UACGUAGGGGGCAAGCGUUGUCCGGAAUCAUUGGGCGUAAAGAGCGUGUAGGCGGCCAGGUAGGUCGGUUGUGAAAACUGGAGGCUCAACCUUCAGAGGUCGACCGAAACCAUCUGGCUAGAGUCCGGGAGAGGAGAGUGGAAUUCCCGGUGUAGCGGUGAAAUGCGCAGAUAUCAGGAGGAACACCGAUGGCGAAGGCAGCUCGCUGGGACGGUACUGACGCUGAGGCGCGAAAGCGUGGGGAGCAAACAGG
RNAcentral lists this ribosomal RNA (253 nucleotides) under uncultured bacterium. Its description in RNAcentral is "partial 16S ribosomal RNA". It matches the Rfam family "Bacterial small subunit ribosomal RNA", at positions 524 to 776 of the family's 1533-position model. The record is from RNAcentral.